This 119-nucleotide ribosomal RNA is filed under the name Petromyzon marinus (sea lamprey). The record is from RNAcentral. Lineage: Eukaryota; Metazoa; Chordata; Hyperoartia; Petromyzontiformes; Petromyzontidae.
ACCGAUGGGAAAAUCACCCACCACGUGUCCGAUCUCGUCAGAUAUUGUGAAGCUAAGCAGGCUUUAUCCUGGAUAGUGCUUGUAAGGGCGACCGCCUUGCAUAGCAGGUGCUAUAGGCU